GAUGAACGCUGGCGGCGUGCUUAACACAUGCAAGUCGAACGGGAAAUACUUCAUUGAGACUUCGGUGGAUUUGAUUUAUUUCUAGUGGCGGACGGGUGAGUAACGCGUGGGUAACCUGCCUUAUACAGGGGGAUAACAGUCAGAAAUGGCUGCUAAUACCGCAUAAGCGCACAGAGCUGCAUGGCUCAGUGUGAAAAACUCCGGUGGUAUAAGAUGGACCCGCGUUGGAUUAGCUGGUUGGUGGGGUAACGGCCCACCAAGGCGACGAUCCAUAGCCGGCCUGAGAGGGUGAACGGCCACAUUGGGACUGAGACACGGCCCAGACUCCUACGGGAGGCAGCAGUGGGGAAUAUUGCACAAUGGGGGAAACCCUGAUGCAGCGACGCCGCGUGAAGGAAGAAGUAUCUCGGUAUGUAAACUUCUAUCAGCAGGGAAGAUAGUGACGGU
This 447-nucleotide ribosomal RNA is filed under the name uncultured bacterium. Its description in RNAcentral is "bacterial SSU rRNA". It matches the Rfam family "Bacterial small subunit ribosomal RNA", at positions 28 to 458 of the family's 1533-position model. The record is from RNAcentral.